GAUGAAGAACGUAGCGAAAUGCGAUAAGUAAUGCGAAUUGCAGAAUUCAGUGAGUCAUCGAAUCUUUGAACGCACAUUGCGCCCGCCAGUAUUCUGGCGGGCAUGCCUGUUCGAGCGUCAUUUCAACCAUCAAGCCCCCGGCUUGUGUUGGGGACCUGCGGCUGCCGCAGGCCCUGAAAAGCAGUGGCGGGCUCGCUGUCACACCGAGCGUAGUAGCAUACAUCUCGCUCUGGGCGUGCUGCGGGUUCCGGCCGUUAAACCACCUUCAUAACCCAAGGUUGACCUCGGAUCAGGUAGGAAGACCCGCUGAACUUAAGCAUAUCAAUAAGCGGAGGA
RNAcentral lists this unclassified non-coding RNA (336 nucleotides) under soil metagenome. RNAcentral's name for it is "partial contains 5.8S ribosomal RNA, internal transcribed spacer 2, and large subunit ribosomal RNA". The stretch from base 1 to 120 matches the Rfam family "5.8S ribosomal RNA", at positions 35 to 154 of the family's 154-position model. The record is from RNAcentral.